This 1005-nucleotide long non-coding RNA is filed under the name Marmota monax (woodchuck). The record is from RNAcentral. Lineage: Eukaryota; Metazoa; Chordata; Mammalia; Rodentia; Sciuridae.
CUCGCCCUGACUUCCCAGAAUGUCAAGGGGGCUGCGUCCGCAGUCCCGCCUCCCCCAAGAGCCAACGCUCUAGGGUUCCUGCCCUGCGCUGCCGAGGGCGCGGAAGGCCUCGACCCUGUCAUAAUCUGAGAAAUUGUGGAUUACUUCGUGAGUGAUAGGAUUCAACCUCUUUAAAUCCUGGAGAGGAAAAUAUUCUAUAGCCGUGGCGUUCUGGAGCUGAAAUGCCCACAAAACAAAACCCAGCGUUCUUGGCAAACGAGCACCGCCCACGCACCACCUGGAGCGGAAGUUUCUUCAACCCCGUGGUGCGCCACUCGGCGACGCUCCUCGCUUUUCACGACCGUCCUUGGGUUUGGGGUUGGGAGUGGGGGUGCUGCGAUGAGCUCGUGGCCUCAUGCCUGCGGGACAAGCGGCCUACCAUUGGGUGACAUCCCAGACCCCAGAGUCAGAAUCAUCGAGUUCGCCCUGAAUGAAUUUUUGUUCUCUUAGUUGAGCCCGAUCUUCCUUUUUCUUUUUCAACACUUUUUUCUUUCACAUCUGAUUAAAGGUAUGGUUAUCAAGAAAAUAUCAAGUAUAGAAGAGAAUCAAGCUUGAAAUACAGAAAGAAGAUUAAGAACCAUUAUAGAGCGGAAGCCAUGUGCUGUUAAAAUGGAGAUGUGGAAAGGGAGUCAGCCUCAACUGCACCAGACAACAAAUUUCACGCAGGUCUCAAUUUCGUGUUGACUGGAUUCCCUUGUUUGAUGGGAACUUGGGAAUCAAGGCAAAUGUUGAAUUGUUCAUUUUAAAGAAAUGUGUCAAGUGGGUGAAAGCUACCCUAGCAGGAAAUUGGAGAACUCAUUGGAAUAUUAAAAGGGGUAAAUCCUACUUACAAUCUUUAAAAUGUCUCUUCUUCCAUCCAUUGUCAGAUAUCACAUCACCUACUUCUAACCUGCUCCGUCAUAAAUCAGAUAAAUCAAUCAUGUGCCUUACUCUUCCAUUAACAGUUGAAUACAGGGAGGCCUGGUU